UAUAUAUACACACGCAUAUAUACAUUACAUGUAAUUUUGCAUUGAUUUUAUGUCUUAUUGGGUGUUCGUCAGGAUCAUCAUUUUCCUUUCACUGACUUCUCUUCAUUUUGGUUUUGAUGUGAGUCUUGCAUCUGGUGCAUCUCGUGCUAUUGCUAUUCGUGCUCCAGUCCCAUGCUUAUCCGGUCGGUCAUCUCGAUUGAUCCGCAUGGGGCAGUAGCAACCGAAACUAGUGCGAAGUUGCCAGAGGAGACAGCCCUCCCCCAGGCAAAAGGGUGGCAUUGGCAGCGGAAAAUGAAAUUUGAAAAUUUGAAAAAAAAAAAUUAAUAUUUUUAUUGCUCAUCUGGUCAGUCAUCUCCAUUGAUCUGCAUAGGAGCAGUAGUAACCAAACUAGUGCGGAAGUAGUGGUGCCAACGGAACUAGUGCAGAGGAAUAUGAAAUUUGAAAAUUUGAAAAAAAAAAAAUAUAUUUUUAUUAAAGUCAUUAGAAUAUUUAACAUUUUAAUAAUAAGAAGAAUCAUAAAAUUAGUGAACUUUGCUCAGAAUCAUACCAUGGGCCUUAGUAGAUGGGCUUAGGGUUGAUAUUUUAUUUUAAAAGACAUUAGAUUGUACGAGUAUAAAUGGGGAGGAUUGGAUUGGUUUGGGUUGGGUUUUUAGUUAGGACUGCAAUGAAAAUAAAUGGCAUUUGACAAAUAUUAUUUUUGGGUUUGAAAUCAUGUUUUAUAAAUUAUUAUACAUAUAUAUUCUUGACUCAAAACGAGCCUAUAAAAUUCAUGAAUAACCGAGUAGGGGUGUUUGACAUUGGUUCGUUUAUUAAUUGAAUUUAUAAAUUUUGUUGAGUUCCCUUCUUAGAUAAACAAACAUGAACCAACCACUUGCUUGAACUAUUCAUUGAAAACUUGACUAGCUUGUCAUAAUUGGUGUUUUGAAUAAGACGAUCUUUUUUAUUUUGAAUUUUUUCUUUUUCAUAUUAAAAAUGUAAUAAGAAUGAGAGGUGUUAAGCUUUUUAUCAUCCUGGCGUAGAGCUAUUUUUCUGUAGGACCUCCCCUACAGUAUCGUCACCGCAGUAGAGUUUAACCACCGAGUUCGGGAUGGAUUGGUGUGGUAGACCUAGUUCCCCUCAUGUUUAUUUCCAGAGAGAAAAAAAAAAAAAAUGCACAUAAUUAGAAAUCAUAAUGAAUAGGUAGUGGUAUUUCAAGCAUUACAAAUACUGUAAUAUGUUAACACUCACAAAGCAAAUUGAUGGUUAUACAUGCAAAAAGUUCUAAAAAUAGACAAACAGAGCCCUUGCAAUGAAGAUCUAAUUUGCAAAUGAUUGCUAUUCUGUAAACUCAGAUUCAGGAAGCUAAUAUUGAGUCAGUCCAUAAACAUAUAGGCUAUAUGGCAACCUCUUGGGCAGUUAUUUAUCUUUUAAAAUUUUUUAUAUAUUCUUUUUGUUUUCAAAAAUUUGUGACUUUAAUGUACUGUUCAUUGUUUUAUUUUAUUUGCUUCUUAUUUUCAA
Cornus florida is the source of this 1497-nucleotide long non-coding RNA. RefSeq lists it as uncharacterized. The transcript has 4 exons. Lineage: Eukaryota; Viridiplantae; Streptophyta; Magnoliopsida; Cornales; Cornaceae. The record is from RefSeq and is a predicted model, not a curated record.